Molecule: ribosomal RNA, 108 nt
Filed under: uncultured bacterium
Lineage: Bacteria
Description: partial 16S ribosomal RNA
Rfam family: Bacterial small subunit ribosomal RNA
Source: RNAcentral
UGGGGAAUAUUGGACAAUGGGCGCAAGCCUGAUCCAGCCAUGCCGGGUGAGUGAUGAAGGCCCUAGGGUUGUAAAGCUCUUUCACCAAGAAGAUAAUGACGUACACAG